Molecule: non-coding RNA, 74 nt
Organism: Lingula anatina
Lineage: Eukaryota; Metazoa; Brachiopoda; Lingulata; Lingulida; Lingulidae
Source: Rfam
GGGCUCGUGGCGCAAUUGGACAACGCGUCUGCCUACGGAGCAGAAGAUUCCAGGUUCGAGUCCUGGCGAGCUCG